GUUGUAUGGUUAAGUGACUAAGCGUACACGGUGGAUGCCUUGGCAGUCAGAGGCGAUGAAAGACGUAGUAACUUGCGAUAAGCCCAGAUUAGGUAGUAACAACCAUUUGAGUCUGGGAUUUCUGAAUGGGGAAACCCACGUGCAUAAGCACGUAUCCUUACCUGAAUACAUAGGGUAAGGAGGCGAACCGGGGGAACUGAAACAUCUAAGUACCCCGAGGAAAAGAAAUCAACCGAGAUUCCGAAAGUAGCGGCGAGCGAAAUUGGACUAGCCCUUAAGCUUUACACGCGUUAGACGAACGGUCUGGAAAGUCCGACGAUACAGGGUGAUAGUCCCGUAGUUGACGACGUGUGUUCAGUGAAAUCGAGUAGGGCGGGACACGUGAUAUCCUGUCUGAAUAUGGGGGGACCAUCCUCCAAGGCUAAAUACUACUGACUGACCGAUAGUGAACCAGUACCGUGAGGGAAAGGCGAAAAGAACCCCUGUGAGGGGAGUGAAAUAGAACCUGAAACCGUGUACGUACAAGCAGUAGGAGCAGGCUUUGUCCUGUGACUGCGUACCUUUUGUAUAAUGGGUCAGCGACUUAUAUUCAGUGGCAAGGUUAACCAUCUAGGGGAGCCGUAGGGAAACCGAGUCUUAACUGGGCGUUCAGUCUCUGGAUAUAGACCCGAAACCAGGUGAUCUAGCCAUGGGCAGGUUGAAGGUUGAGUAACAUCAACUGGAGGACCGAACCGACUAAUGUUGAAAAAUUAGCGGAUGACUUGUGGCUAGGGGUGAAAGGCCAAUCAAACCUGGAGAUAGCUGGUUCUCCCCGAAAGCUAUUUAGGUAGCGCCUCGGACGAAUACUACUGGGGGUAGAGCACUGUUAAGGCUAGGGGGUCAUCCCGACUUACCAACCCUUUGCAAACUCCGAAUACCAGUAAGUACUAUCCGGGAGACACACGGCGGGUGCUAACGUCCGUCGUGGAGAGGGAAACAACCCAGACCGCCAGCUAAGGUCCCAAAUUACUACUAAGUGGGAAACGAUGUGGGAAGGCUCAGACAGCCAGGAUGUUGGCUUAGAAGCAGCCAUCAUUUAAAGAAAGCGUAAUAGCUCACUGGUCGAGUCGGCCUGCGCGGAAGAUGUAACGGGGCUAAGUAGUAAACCGAAGCUGCGGCAAUAUACUUUUGUAUAUUGGGUAGGGGAGCGUUCUGUAAGCGGUUGAAGGUGUGUGGUAACGCAUGCUGGACGUAUCAGAAGUGCGAAUGCUGACAUGAGUAACGAUAAAGGGGGUGAAAAACCUCCUCGCCGGAAGACCAAGGGUUCCUGUCCAACGUUAAUCGGGGCAGGGUAAGUCGACCCCUAAGGCGAGGCCGAAAGGCGUAGUCGAUGGGAAACGGGUUAAUAUUCCCGUACUUCUUACAAUUGCGAUGGGGGGACGGAGAAGGCUAGGUGGGCCUGGCGACGGUUGUCCAGGUUCAAGUGCGUAGGCUUAAGAGUUAGGUAAAUCCGGCUCUUUUUAAGGCUGAGACACGACGUCGAGCACCUACGGGUGUGAAGUCAUUGAUGCCAUGCUUCCAGGAAAAGCCUCUAAGCUUCAGAUUGUAAGGAAUCGUACCCCAAACCGACACAGGUGGUCGGGUAGAGAAUACCAAGGCGCUUGAGAGAACUCGGGUGAAGGAACUAGGCAAAAUGGUACCGUAACUUCGGGAGAAGGUACGCUCUCGACGGUGAAGUCCCUUGCGGAUGGAGCUAUUGAGAGUCGCAGAUACCAGGUGGCUGCAACUGUUUAUUAAAAACACAGCACUGUGCAAAAUCGUAAGAUGACGUAUACGGUGUGACGCCUGCCCGGUGCCGGAAGGUUAAUUGAUGGGGUUAGACUUCGGUCGAAGCUCUUGAUCGAAGCCCCGGUAAACGGCGGCCGUAACUAUAACGGUCCUAAGGUAGCGAAAUUCCUUGUCGGGUAAGUUCCGACCUGCACGAAUGGCGUAAUGAUGGCCACGCUGUCUCCACCCGAGACUCAGUGAAAUUGAAAUCGCUGUGAAGAUGCAGUGUACCCGCGGCUAGACGGAAAGACCCCGUGAACCUUUACUACAGCUUGGCACUGAACAUUGACCCUACAUGUGUAGGAUAGGUGGGAGGCUUUGAAGCACGUACGCCAGUAUGUGUGGAGCCGUCCUUGAAAUACCACCCUUGUAGUGUUGAUGUUCUAACGUCGACCCCUAAUCGGGGUUGCGGACAGUGCCUGGUGGGUAGUUUGACUGGGGCGGUCUCCUCCCAAAGAGUAACGGAGGAGCACGAAGGUGGGCUAAUCACGGUUGGACAUCGUGAGGUUAGUGCAAUGGCAUAAGCCCGCUUGACUGCGAGAAUGACAAUUCGAGCAGGUGCGAAAGCAGGUCAUAGUGAUCCGGUGGUUCUGAAUGGAAGGGCCAUCGCUCAACGGAUAAAAGGUACUCCGGGGAUAACAGGCUGAUACCGCCCAAGAGUUCAUAUCGACGGCGGUGUUUGGCACCUCGAUGUCGGCUCAUCACAUCCUGGGGCUGAAGUCGGUCCCAAGGGUAUGGCUGUUCGCCAUUUAAAGUGGUACGCGAGCUGGGUUUAGAACGUCGUGAGACAGUUCGGUCCCUAUCUGCCGUGGGCGUUGGAAGAUUGAAGGGGGCUGCUCCUAGUACGAGAGGACCGGAGUGGACGAACCUCUGGUGUUCGGGUUGUGUCGCCAGACGCAUUGCCCGGUAGCUAAGUUCGGAAUCGAUAACCGCUGAAAGCAUCUAAGCGGGAAGCGAGCCCUGAGAUGAGUCUUCCCUGAUACUUUAAGUAUCCUAAAGGGUUGUCGGAGACUACGACGUUGAUAGGUCAGGUGUGUAAGUGCUGUGAGGCAUUGAGCUAACUGAUACUAAUUGCCCGUGAGGCUUAACCAUACAACACCCAAGGGGUUU
This 2916-nucleotide ribosomal RNA is filed under the name Vibrio parahaemolyticus. Its description in RNAcentral is "bacterial LSU rRNA". It matches the Rfam family "Bacterial large subunit ribosomal RNA". Lineage: Bacteria; Pseudomonadati; Pseudomonadota; Gammaproteobacteria; Vibrionales; Vibrionaceae. The record is from RNAcentral.